UGCAUCUUCGCCAUGAUGGACAAGAACGCGGAUGGGAAGCUGACACUGCAGGAGUUCCAGGAGGGCUCCAAGGCAGACCCCUCCAUUGUACAGGCGCUCUCUCUUUACGACGGACUGGUGUAGAUGCCACAGCACUGCCCCAAGGUGGGUGAGAGGUGAUCCCCAGUGUCAUCUCUCACACAGUGAGGUGACGAGUGUUGUUGGAGCCGCCUGUCUGAGGACUCAUGGGAAACGCACGGGAUUGUGGGAAACCACCCGACUGGCCUCUUGUCCAUCGUCAUGGCUACGAACUUUGGCCCUCAUUUACUCACCAGGUGGAGGACGCAUCCAGACCAGACCGUGUUUAUUCUGGAUAUGUGUGUGUAUGGUGUGUGUGAGAGAGAGUGAAUGAGUGAGAGAGAGAGAGGGAGAGAGAGAGAGAGGGAGGGAGGGAGACAGAGAAAGAGAGAGAGAGAGAGAGAGAGAGGGAGAAAGGGAGAGAGAGAGAGAAAGAGAGAGAGGGAGAGAGACAGAGAGAGAGAUUGUACACUAAGACAUCCACUACACAUUUUGUGUUUGUGGGACACAUUUAGAACAAGAGGUAAAGAAUGGUAUAAAGUGAGUGAGAGAGUGAUGUGUGUGUGUGUGUGUGUGUGUGUUUCUGAAUUGGUAUACAUUGAGGAACGCUGAGGAACUCUGUAAUGUGGAUUCCUGUUUGCUGAAGAACACUUGAAGAGGAGCAGUCGACUGGACCGGACUCUAUAACAUAAGGAAACAACUGAUCUCAGCCUGUACAUACUGCACAGUGCAUACUGCACAGUACAUACUCAACAGUACAUACUGCACAGUACAUACUCAACAGUACAUACUCAACAGAGCAUACUGCACAGUACAUACUCAACAGAGCAUACGGCACAGUACAUACUCAGCAGUACAUACUCAACAGAGCAUACGGCACAGUACAUACUCAACAGUACAUACUCAACAAAGCAUACUCAACAGAGCAUACUCAACAGUACAUACUGCACAGUACAUACUCAACAGUACAUACUCAACAAAGCAUACUCAACAGAGCAUACUCAACAGUCCAUACUGCACAGUACAUACUCAACAGUACAUACUCAAUAAAGCAUACUGCACAGUACAUACUCAACAAAGCAUACUCAACAGCAUAUUCAACAGUAUAUACUACACAGUACAUACGGCACAGAGCAUACUCAACAGUACAUACUGCACAGAGUAUACUCAACAGUACAUACUGCACAGUACAUACGGCACAGAGCAUAAUCAACAGUACAUACUACACAGUACAUUUCUGCACAGUACAUACUGCACAGAGCAUACUCAACAGUACAUACUGCACAGAGCAUACUCAACAGUAUACUGCACAGUACAUUUCUGCACAGUACAUACUGCACAGAGCAUACCCCAUAGAGCACACUUCAGACAUGACCUGUGCAUACUCUGCAGACAUUCGAAACAUGCCGUCCUGCUUUGCAUCCAUUCUGCUGAAGUCAUGAUUGCACUUAUAUAAUAGUUUACAUGCUUGAUGUAUUAAUUAAUUUAUUUGAUUUAUUUGUUAUUAAUUGUUAGAAAAAAGUGUGUAUGUGUAAGAGAAAAGAAAUGAGAUGGAUUCUUUCCUAUUGCCUAUGAAGUGGAGAGGGCGCGUGGUCAUGCUUUGACCGAUUAUACUUGUAUGCUGUCUCCAGUCUGAUGUGUUUCUGCUUGUUUGUGUGUGUGUGUGUGCGCGUGUAUGCCUCACUGACUUGUCUGUCCAGACCCCCCUGUAGCCCUCUCCCACACACACACACACACACACACACACAGACACACACUCGCUGUAGCCACACUGUCCUGAUUUAGCACGUGUGUAUGGAGUGUGACUGGCUGGCCUGCUCCCGCUGUACUGUGCUGUGCGUGCGUACUCUGAGACACACACAAGCAGCCUGUUGUCUGUGCUCGCCUGCUUGUCUUCAUAAAAGCCCUUGACAUUGGCAA
Sardina pilchardus (European sardine) is the source of this 1977-nucleotide long non-coding RNA. RefSeq lists it as uncharacterized. NCBI's taxonomy places the organism in Eukaryota, Metazoa, Chordata, Actinopteri, Clupeiformes, Clupeidae. The record is from RefSeq and is a predicted model, not a curated record. The transcript is spliced from 3 exons.